RNAcentral lists this ribosomal RNA (580 nucleotides) under Gadus macrocephalus (Pacific cod). RNAcentral describes it as "partial 16S ribosomal RNA". It matches the Rfam family "Bacterial large subunit ribosomal RNA", at positions 1814 to 2603 of the family's 2925-position model. Lineage: Eukaryota; Metazoa; Chordata; Actinopteri; Gadiformes; Gadidae. The record is from RNAcentral.
CAUCGCCUCUUGCUCCAAAAAUAUAAGAGGUCCCGCCUGCCCUGUGACUAUAAGUUUAACGGCCGCGGUAUUUUAACCGUGCGAAGGUAGCGUAAUCACUUGUCUUUUAAAUGAAGACCUGUAUGAAUGGCAUCACGAGGGCUUAGCUGUCUCCCAUCUCCAGUCAAUGAAAUUGACCUCCCCGUGCAGAGGCGGGGAUGAUUACAUAAGACGAGAAGACCCUAUGGAGCUUUAGACCUAAAGUAAGUCACGUUUAACAUCCUGUGAUAACAGUAAAAACUUAGUGAUAUUUACUGAAGUGUCUUUGGUUGGGGCGACCGCGGGGUAAAACACAACCCCCAUGUGGACCGGGGAUAUUAUCCCUAAUACUCAGAGCCUCUACUCCAAGUAACAGAAAUUCUGACUUUUCUGAUCCGGUAUAACCGAUCAACGAACCGAGUUACCCUAGGGAUAACAGCGCAAUCCCCUCUCAGAGCCCAUAUCGACGAGGGGGUUUACGACCUCGAUGUUGGAUCAGGACAUCCUAAUGGUGCAGCCGCUAUUAAGGGUUCGUUUGUUCAACGAUUAAAGUCCUACGUGA